CCUACGGGUGGCAGCAGUGAGGAAUAUUGGUCAAUGGGCGUAAGCCUGAACCAGCCAAGUCGCGUGAGGGAUGAAGGUUCUAUGGAUCGUAAACCUCUUUUAUAAGGGAAUAAAGUGUGGGACGUGUCCUGUUUUGUAUGUACCUUAUGAAUAAAGAUAGGCUAACUCCGUGCCAGCAGCCGCGGUAAUACGGAGGAUCCGAGCGUUAUCCGGAUUUAUUGGGUUUAAAGGGUGCGUAGGCGGCCUUUUAAGUCAGCGGUGAAAGUCUGUGGCUCAACCAUAGAAUGGCCGUGGAAACUGGGAGGCUUGAGUAUGUUUGAGGCAGGCGGAAUGCGUGGUGUAGCGGUGAAAUGCUUAGAUAUCACGCAGAACCCCGAUUGCGAAGGCAGCCUGCCAAGCCAUGACUGACGCUGAUGCACGAAAGCGUGGGGAUCAAACAGGAUUAGAUACCCCUGUAGUC
RNAcentral lists this ribosomal RNA (460 nucleotides) under uncultured bacterium. Its description in RNAcentral is "partial 16S ribosomal RNA". It matches the Rfam family "Bacterial small subunit ribosomal RNA", at positions 338 to 795 of the family's 1533-position model. The record is from RNAcentral.